GACGAACGCUGGCGGCGUGCUUAACACAUGCAAGUCGAACGGUGAAGCGAGUGCUUGCACUCGUGGAUCAGUGGCGAACGGGUGAGUAACACGUGAGUAACCUACCCAUCACUCUGGGAUAAGCACUGGAAACGGUGUCUAAUACUGGAUACGACCAACCCUUGCAUGGGGUGUUGGUGGAAAGAUUUAUCGGUGAUGGAUGGACUCGCGGCCUAUCAGCUUGUUGGCGGGGUAAUGGCCCACCAAGGCGACGACGGGUAGCCGGCCUGAGAGGGUGACCGGCCACACUGGGACUGAGACACGGCCCAGACUCCUACGGGAGGCAGCAGUGGGGAAUAUUGCACAAUGGGCGAAAGCCUGAUGCAGCGACGCCGCGUGAGGGAUGACGGCCUUCGGGUUGUAAACCUCUUUCAGCAGGGAAGAAGCGAAAGUGACGGUACCUGCAGAAGAAGCACCGGCUAACUACGUG
Molecule: ribosomal RNA, 469 nt
Filed under: uncultured bacterium
Lineage: Bacteria
Description: partial 16S ribosomal RNA
Rfam family: Bacterial small subunit ribosomal RNA
Source: RNAcentral